Equus caballus (horse) is the source of this 2039-nucleotide long non-coding RNA. The record is from Ensembl. NCBI's taxonomy places the organism in Eukaryota, Metazoa, Chordata, Mammalia, Perissodactyla, Equidae.
GCAAAACCUCAGUGUCAGAUGGAACACACUGUGAUGACCUGUGGAUAGAAGUUUUUUUUCUUUUCCAGUCGACUUGCUAAUGUCUGCUGGCGUUCUUUUAGCUAAAGUCUUGAGAUCUGCUCCUGGGCCAGGAGGUGGGGAGACAAUGCAGAAAUUGCUUCCUCUGGAACAGCCUUCAUUGGAAUUCUGCGAAAGUGAAGGCCAUUUGGAACUUAGAGAGAGAGCUCCCCGCAGGGAAGAAGAUGAAAGGUUUCAAUGGGGCAAAAGGAUGAUCUUUCUAGCAAUGAAUGACAGAAUAGCACGCCAUGGGUUAUUAAGGGAUGCGGGAACUCCCUCUGGAGCCCUUAAGAGAAGGACUAAGUGAUGACUGGCAGACUUCAAGAAAGAACACAGUAAUUUCCUUCGAUGAUGUCAGCUUCCAAAAGGUCAGAGAUGUUUUUUCCCCAAAUCCGCUGCUUCCCUCAAAUAACGCAUUAUGAACUGACAUCCACUAAUUUGCCUAAAUGUUUCUUGUACUUGGUGGGGUAAUGAGUUCCUCAACUUUGCUGUCCUCUGCGAAGGUGAAAAGAUGUCCCUCCUGCUCUCUGGGCUGCUGACUUCAUAUUUCAGGAUGUUGUAACCACCUUUCCCAGUCAGUUAUGUCCCCUUUAUCAGCCCUCCUUCCAGAAUCAGUAGUCUUCAUUUUUUUUAGCUUGUCCUCAUAUAAAAGUUUUCCCAUUACUUGCUAAUAGUCUUAAUUCCUUGUUUUGUUAUGUUUACCAUGCUAUUUAGUGGCAGGACUAUUGGGCGUGAAUCUAUAAUACUGUACAAUGAUAGGAUUAUGCUUUGGCCACACCUUAGAUCAGAUUCCCCAAACUUGCUCUGAAGAACUAGUCGUUUGAGCCUCCAAUAGGCAUGAAAGGAUUUUGUUUGGAAAUUCUAGGAUGAAGAGUAAAUGGUUCUAAAUGGAAUACAGUUCUUCUCAAAGCUUCUUGUGUGUUAGUGAGCCACCCGCCUCUCAAAGAAGGGGAUGACGGUACUCAGCACCUGCUCCAGUUCUUUGAUCACAGAAUCCUCUUUCUAAGCAUCUCUCCUGUGACGAGUGUCCACGGAGCACGUCUUGAGGAAACGCUGAGUCGAAGGCUGUGUGCCUGGGCCGCGUGGAGAGAGUUAGCUCCAUGCGUGUUCCAGAGGGGAAUAGAUUCCGUGUGUCCUGGACAGUACUGACGAGUUUAAGAAUUCAGGAUCACUUCUGAAAUUUACUUAUUAAAAGGAGCCUUUGUAGAGAAGAGAUAUUCUCCUAUUUUGCUGGUAGGAUUAAAAAUUGCUAUAGCCUUUCUGAAAGUUCAUUUCACAAUGCUUGUCAAAAAUGGAAAAAAUGUUAAUACUUAGCAAGCAGCAUUUUAGCAUAAAUUAUCUAGGAAUUUAUUCUAAGUAAAUAACUAUUAAAUUGCACUAAGACUUAGUUCUGUUGAUAUUUACUCCCAUAUUGUUUAUUGUCCCCUAUUUACUUCCAUAUUGUCCUCCAUUUACAUUCCAUUAAAUAUUCAAAAUACUUAAUGACUGACAUGGCAAGGCACCAGCUAAUCAGAACAGAUGCCUCCUAUAAAGCAUUGGUGUGGCUAGACUCAUGCCCAGCAACUAAAUAUCUGCCCUGAUUCUUUAUAUGAAAGAUAAAAAUUGAAAAAAAACAUGCAAUAGAGGAAUAGUUAUAUAAAUUGUGGUGUAAUGCAAUAUUUCACAGCAAUUAAAAGUGAUGUUAUUGAAGACCAGUUCAUGGCAUACGUGCUCUUAAAAUACUAAGUGGGAAAAUCAGGUUAGAACUGUAUAUAGGUAAUGAUUCUAUUUUGAAAAUAAAAUAAAUAUGCAUGGAGAAAAGGUUGGAAAGAUACACACACAAAUACUAACGUCAGUUACAUUUGGGUGGGAGGAUUCCAGGUAAUUUUAUUUUCUUCAUUCUAUCAGUCCGUAUUCUCCAGGUUAGGGGUCAGCAAACUGUAGCUGGUAAGCCAAAUCUGGACCACCGUCUGUUUUUAUAAAUAAAGUUGUGUUGGAACAUG